Molecule: ribosomal RNA, 300 nt
Filed under: uncultured Castellaniella sp.
Lineage: Bacteria; Pseudomonadati; Pseudomonadota; Betaproteobacteria; Burkholderiales; Alcaligenaceae
Description: bacterial SSU rRNA
Rfam family: Bacterial small subunit ribosomal RNA
Source: RNAcentral
GCUAACUACGUGCCAGCAGCCGCGGUAAUACGUAGGGUGCAAGCGUUAAUCGGAAUUACUGGGCGUAAAGGGUGCGUCGGCGGUUUGGCAAGAAAGGUGUGAAAUCCCAGGGCUUAACCUUGGAACUGCACUUUUAACUGCCAGGCUAGAGUACGUCAGAGGGGGGUAGAAUUCCACGUGUAGCAGUGAAAUGCGUAGAGAUGUGGAGGAAUACCGAUGGCGAAGGCAGCCCCCUGGGAUGAUACUGACGCUCAGGCACGAAAGCGUGGGGAGCAAACAGGAUUAGAUACCCCUGUAGUC